Molecule: long non-coding RNA, 1196 nt
Filed under: Apteryx haastii (Great spotted kiwi)
Lineage: Eukaryota; Metazoa; Chordata; Aves; Apterygiformes; Apterygidae
Description: lncRNA (ENSAHAG00000016236.1)
Source: RNAcentral
UCCCACCUGCCUCCUGGUGUCAUCCAUGGUCACGUCCCACCUGCCUCCUGGUGUCACCCAUGGUCACGUCCCACCUGCGUUCCCGGCCCUGGGCUUGUCAUGGUCCAUCUGCCUCCUGGUGUCACCCAUGGCCACGUCCCACCUGCCUCCUGGUGUCAUCCAUGGCCACAUCCCACCUGCAUUCCCGGCCCUGGGCCUGUUGUGGUCCAUCUGCCUCCUGGUGUCACCCAUGGCCACGUCCCACUUCCCUCCUGGUAUCACCCAUGGCCACGUCCCACCUGCGUUCCCAGCCCUGGCCCUGCCACGGUCCCCCUGUGUCUUGGUGUCACCCAUGGCCAUGUCCCACCUGCCUCCUGGUGGCAUCCGUGGUCACAUCCCACCUGCGUCCCCAUCCCUGGGCCUGUCGUGGCCCAUCUGCCUCCUGGUGUCCUCCAUGGCCACAUCCCACCUGCCUCCUGGUGUCACCUGUGGUCACAUCCCACUUCCCUCCUGGUGUCAUCCGUGGUCACGUCCCACCUGCAUUCCUGGCCCUGGCCCUGCCAUGGUCCCCCUGCAUCCUGGUGUCACCUGUGGUCAUGUCCCACCUGUGUCCCUGGGCCUGUCGUGGCCUAUCUGCCUCCUGGUGUCACCCAUGGCCACAUCCCACCUGUGUCCUAGUGUCCUCCGUGGCCACGUCCCUGACCAUGUCUACAUCCACGUCCCUGUCCACAUCUGCGGUCGCGUCCCCGUCCCAGCCCCAYCCCUGUCCCCGUCCCCGUCCUGGCCACAUCUCCAUCCCCAGCCGCAUCCCUGUCCCAUCUGCGUCCCCGUCCCGUCCGUGUCCCGGCCACGUCCCAUCCGUGUCCUGGUGCCAUCCAUGGCCACGUCCCCGGCCGUGUCCACAUCCGUGUCCUUGUCCACGUCUGCGUCCCCGUCCCAGCCCCGUCCCUGUCCCCGUCUUGGCCGCGUCCCCGACCACAUCGACAUAGUCAUCCCGUCCAUGUCCAUGUCCAUCCUGGCCGGGGAUGUGGCCAUGUCCCCGUCCACGUCCCCAUCCUCAUUGCGUUCCUGUCCCUGUCCCCAUCCUGAUCCCUGUCCUCGUCCGUCCCCGUCGCCGCGCUGCCGCAGGACACGGGGGCGAGCGAGGCGGUGGCAGCCAUCUUCGCGCUGCUGGACGCCAACGGCGACCGCCGCAUCUCCUUCGACGAGUACUGGCA